RNAcentral lists this long non-coding RNA (890 nucleotides) under Salmo salar (Atlantic salmon). RNAcentral's name for it is "lncRNA (ENSSSAG00000099302.1, ENSSSAG00000105656.1)". Lineage: Eukaryota; Metazoa; Chordata; Actinopteri; Salmoniformes; Salmonidae. The record is from RNAcentral.
GUAUGUUCCGUAUCAAGAUGGGAAGCAGAUGAAGGCCAACUCUCUCUCAGCAUGUGAGAAUUACAAUGUUAAAACAGAGAGAGGGAGAAAAAUAAAAAAAAGUGUUUGACAUUCAUUCUCCCAUAGACGACGGCACAAAACAAUCAGUGGCUUAGAAAAAAAGUCUUACAACAUUUUGGGGGAAAAAAAUGUUUAGGAAACAUGAAUAUGACUUUCUAUUAAAAAAAAAUUCAAAAAAAAAAGAAGUAAUAGAAACAGGCGAAUAUAGUUUUAUACAAUCUUUAUUACAACUUCCUCACCAGCUGUACAUGUUCACAUUUUAAAAUUAACAACUUUUACAAGGACAGGUAACUAUGAAAUCCAUCUGAUUAAAAUGUCAUGUUCUCUUCUCAAAUGACCUCGGACUUCCUCAUUCACUGUUUGUUUCUCCCAUACAGUGUGUACAUAUUGUAUACAAGCAUCAAUAUAAACACAUGGAAAAAUCGAGAAAAAAAAAGGUUAUUUGGUAAUUCAGUUUAUGUUAAAUAAAAAUACAGAAAACAUAAAACCUGCUGAUAAGUUCUGACUGAAAAGCUUCAGUUAUUAUUGUUAUUUUUAAACAAUUAUUUUCUCCUAGAAGUUUAUUAUAGCCUGGUUAAACCAUACUGAAAACGCUGAUCGCCAUCGUUUGAAACAUUCAGUCUGGUUUAACCAGGCUAUAAAAGGUUUAUUGUCCCAAAGUUGCGGUUUCCCUGUCAAGAAUGCACAAACCGAUGUGGGGGAGCCAGGCUAGGAGACUAACCGCUGUGGAGGGGGAGCCAGGCUAGCAGACUAACCGCUGGGGGGGAGCCAGGCUAGCAGACUAACCGCUGGGGGGGGAGCCAGGCUAGCAGACUAACCGCUGUGGGGGA